UACGUAGGUGGCAAGCGUUGUCCGGAUUUACUGGGCGUAAAGAGCGCGCAGGCGGUCGUUCAAGUCGCGUGUGAAAGCCCCCCGGCUCAACUGGGGAGGGUCACGCGAUACUGAUCGACUCGAAGGCAGGAGAGGGAAGUGGAAUUCCCGGUGUAGUGGUGAAAUGCGUAGAUAUCGGGAGGAACACCAGUGGCGAAGGCGACUUCCUGGCCUGUUCUUGACGCUGAGGCGCGAAAAGCUAGGGGAGCAAACGGGG
Molecule: ribosomal RNA, 256 nt
Filed under: uncultured bacterium
Lineage: Bacteria
Description: partial 16S ribosomal RNA
Rfam family: Bacterial small subunit ribosomal RNA
Source: RNAcentral